UACGGGGGGAGCAAGCGUUGUUCGGAUUUACUGGGCGUAAAGGGCGCGUAGGCGGCCACCGCAAGUCGAUUGUGAAAUCUCCGGGCUUAACCCGGAAAGGUCAACCGAUACUGCGGGGCUAGAGUGCAGAAGGGGCAACUGGAAUUCUCGGUGUAGCGGUGAAAUGCGUAGAUAUCGAGAGGAACACCUGCGGCGAAGGCGGGUUGCUGGGCUGAUACUGACGCUGAGGCGCGAAAGCCAGGGGAGCGAUCCGG
Molecule: ribosomal RNA, 254 nt
Filed under: uncultured bacterium
Lineage: Bacteria
Description: partial 16S ribosomal RNA
Rfam family: Bacterial small subunit ribosomal RNA
Source: RNAcentral